Xenia sp. Carnegie-2017 is the source of this 351-nucleotide long non-coding RNA. RefSeq lists it as uncharacterized. The record is from RefSeq and is a predicted model, not a curated record. The transcript has 3 exons. Lineage: Eukaryota; Metazoa; Cnidaria; Anthozoa; Malacalcyonacea; Xeniidae.
UACAAAGGUGAGAUGUUUAAUGACAGAGAGUGUGAGAAUUACUCCUAAAUAUUUAUGUUUUAUACAUACGAGAUAUUUGCUCUUUCCUAUGAAGAUAGUGAUUAUCAUUUUCAAAGUUUGACGCUUUUACCAAGUUUGAUAAUGAACUAUUAUCAAGAUGGGAUCAUGCCAUGUUGUUGGGAUGUUUCAAGUACAACCUGGAGUCAGUUGAAAGGCGAAUUAUUGCUUGAAAAUAUAACUUUGUUGCUCAGUUUAACGAGAAAAGAUUUACUCAGAGACGUCCUCCUCAAAAUAUAUCCAGUCUAAACCAACCAUACAAUGCUGACCAGUUUAACUUUACCAAAGUACCAA